AUGUGGCCUGAGGGUUUUCAUGACCACCGCUGUGCUUCAGAAAUUACUCUGCACCGCCGACAGCAAAUCCGCUACCCUUGGACUCCUGGGUGCACUUCAGAUUGACACGACAGGCUUCGUAACCCACUUCCAUAGCUAGAUCUGUGACACAGUUCAAGGGCCUCGGUGCUUUGCAUUACCUGCCAACUCAUUAACGUGGGGAAGGGAGCCAUGGGUCUGCGCAGUCUGUAAGUAGCGACUCUAUACCCCGGAGCUUCGCUCCUCUUUAUAAAGUAGUUGGCAUCUCUGUGCAGCCAAGAACCUCCCAGCUUUUAAUCACCCGACCACGUGGGCUUCGCCCCUCUGCAGCUGGCACUAGCUUGGAACAAUACGUGACUUGGGUAGCAUCGCUCUCUCAUGUCGGCGCAGUUACCAUUGUUCACAGGCAGCCCUAUCAGCAGCCCUGCCGCCAGGCCCAGACCCACCCACGACUUGGUUCAUUGUGCUCUAAUGGACUUUUCAGGGCAAUCCCACACUCCCACGCCUCUUGGGAUUUCCUCUGCCCAUUUUGAAAGCUGUCGUCGGCAUGGGGACGUGGACCCUUAUUUGGAUACAUACAGGCCUGAUCACAAAAGCGCGCGAAAUGCUGCGGCAUCUAGACUGAUGUGGAAAAGCCCAAUAAAGCGAGCCCAUGGCAGAGAGGUACCAGCCUUUGUAUUAGACAGCCCAAACCCUCUCUGCGAGGAGCUCCCUCAAGCCCAAGUCUCCCCUCCCUUUAGCAAAGGGGGCAACCGAAAUCUGACCGAGUAGGCUGGUGCGUCUAGCUGCCCUUCAUUGUUGGAAGGCGAAGCUCCAGUUGCCCCAGUGUGUCUCUUACCCCGGGGGGAGGAAGGAGAAGCAAGUCGCCAGCCUACAGGAGAAGGGAGGAAAAGCGUGCUUUGGAAUAACCUCCCAGGCCCCACACAGACACAUUCCUGUGGUGGAAGAGCCCUGCCAGUGGCCUCCCCAUCCUGCAAGUCCUUCCCGCAGCAGCCGGGGGAAGCCAGGCACUCACUGUGCUGGCUCUUGGAGAUUUAGACUUGAAAGCUGGCGAGAACCUCCCUGCCUUUAGCGGCUUGACCCUCUCUGGAGAGCAAAUCCCUUCAUGGCUGGGUGACAUAGCCCAGCUCCCACCUGCCCACUGGCAACUAGGUUUAAUAAAACAU
This is a long non-coding RNA of Malaclemys terrapin pileata, 1184 nucleotides long. RefSeq lists it as uncharacterized. The transcript has 3 exons. Lineage: Eukaryota; Metazoa; Chordata; Testudines; Emydidae. The record is from RefSeq and is a predicted model, not a curated record.